UCGACAAUUAUGUCUGGGUAAUGUGGCUUCGGUUGAAAUCUGGUAGAACCGAGAACAUUAUUUAAUUUGACAGCCUUGCAGUUGUGCAAACCAGCGCAGCAAAGGAUGGAUACCAAUCUCCUAGGGCAGGCUGUGCAAUACCAUGGGCCAGACCUAGUCCGAUAUCUGCAUGUGGAAGACCAGCGAAUACCACAGACAGUGAUUGAUUACCUGUCUAAAUAUAGACCCCACCCUCUAGAGAUCCCAGAGGAUGACUUCCAGCAGAAACUACGUCGGUUCGUUGCUCGGAAGUCUGACCUGUUGUUCUCUCCCAACGACCCCAAAGAGGACGAAGCUCGGACGGAUGACAAUAAGGUGGACGAGGACGAUAAAUUUGCCAAGAUGCCACCCCUGGAAUCUUUCAUGGGCAUUUCACCAAAUUAUUGUAGGGAGCACUUCUUCAAUAGUCUAGAGAAGCGUGACUUGGUGGUGGGUGUGGUAUCGUCAGUGAUGGACAGUGGUGUUGUGGUCACUUUGUUGUGUAUGGACGGUGGAAAGGUCCGAGAUAUUGACGAGCUGAAGACUACGGCCUUCUGUCCUGUGAAGGAGUUACCUAGGCUGUUUGCUAACCAGAGUCCGCUUGAAGGAUUUCAGGUCAAAGACAAGGUCAGAGGUGUUGUGCUGAACGUAAACCAGGAAACGGAGAGGAUCAUCAUCUCCAUGGUGGAGCGGGCACUUUCAGAGGAACAGUCCAACAUCAAGUUGGGUUUGAUCAAUGAAGACGACUUUCCAGUUCAUUAUAGACGGAAGUUACACAUACGUGGACUGGCUUUUGAUGAGCUGCUACACUCCAUUCUCGGCUUCAACAAUUCCGGCAAUGUGUCGAGUCUGUUAGGGCUAUUACAUCUGUCCGACUCCACUUCCAUCAUGCGUGGGCUUCACAGGAAAACAAUACCAGAAAAGGAGUAUGCUGAAAGUUUGAGGAAAUAUCAGUCUCAAAAGUGGGCACAUCAAAGUGUUGCUAAUGGUGUGUCCAUGUUCAAGGCUGGCAAGCAGGUGGAAGCUAUGCAGUACCUCAACAAGGCUCUUCAGAUAGACAGUAAAAAUGUGGAGGCACUGGUUGCUCGUGGGGCGCUGUAUGCCAACAAUGAAAGUUACAACCUAGCCAUCGAGGACUUUGAGCUGGCUUUGAAAUUUAAUAACCAGCAUCAGAACGCGAGGAAAUACCUGUAUGAAACUCUGCUGGCCUUCGCCAAGGUGUUAGAAGACCAGACUGACUUUGAGAAUGCUGAGAAACAGUACAGAAAAGCCAUAUUGUUACAACCCAGCUCUGUGGAGGUUCGAGAACUUAUCCGCUACAUGAUAGUUAGAAAGGAGAGGAAAGAACGUGAGAGAGCACUGCGAGGACGAUCCCCAUCACCAGUCAUCCCCCAGGACAGGAGUCUGGAUAAAUCCUCUGACAGACAUAAGAACAGGGAGACAUCAAAAACUCUCAAGAAGUUAAUCCAGGAGGACAGAUCUAGACUAGGAGACUCGCAUAAAAGAAGGAGAAGUGCUGGAGAUGAUCUGCGACACCGGUCUUAUUCUCCAGAACAAGAAUUCAGAGGAAGGAGCCACCCUCGCCGCCACCGUUCGACUGAGUUUGACUCCAGCAGCAGCAGCAGUGGCAGCAGCAGUAGCGGAAGCUCAAGUGACAGUAGUUCUUCCUCUGACAGCGAAGAUUCAUCCAUUCCAAGGGAUCGCAGACACCAGCGGAGAGUCAAGGACAGUCAUAGCAAGGAAGAAAUGGAAAAGGACACAGACAAGUACAUAAACCCGGAGUCUUCAAGAGAAAUCUAUCAGGCAGAGCUGGAUCGUAGGUCAGCAGCAGCAGCUAAAGUCCCAUCUCCUAGUGAAGCAUACGCUGUAGACCACACAUCCUCCUUUUUGUUUGGAGCUGACGGAAACUACAGGACUUCUCCUCCAGAGGAGGAGAGGAAGAAGUCUGAGGUGAAGGAACAAGACAGAGAUAAGAUGUGUCGGAAGGAUGAGGGAGCUAAAGAGAAACAUAACAGAGAAUCUUCUAAACACAAAUCAAAAUCCCAUUCCAUAGACAAGAAUAAACAACAGAGCAGAAAAAGAUCUGUUGAGCAGGAGGGAGACAGGAGCAGAAAGGAUCCCAGAAGUUCUCACAGUAGUGACCGAUCAACUUCUAGGUCACAUCAGAAAAAGAGAAGUAGGGAGUCGUUUGAGGAUGUAAGUGACAGAGACAUUAGAUUAGACAGUUCUUUUGAAACAAAACGAGACCAGUUCAGUGAGAGUGGGAGCGGCCGUGUGUCGCGUAAAAGUGAAAGAAAAGAGAACAAAAUUCACGAAUUUCAUAAAAGUCCUGAAUUUGAACGGGACAUUUUUAUUGACAAAGAGGAUAUUGAUAGAAAGGACAGAAGGAAGUCUGGAUCUAAAGAGAAAACCAAAAAAUACAAGGAUGAGGAUGAGUAUUCGACUGAUUCUAAGUCUAAGGUUGCUGGCAAAACCAGUGAAAGGAAACUACCUCCAAGGAAAAGGGACAGAUCAAGGUCUAGUUCAGCUCAUUCCUUUGAGGAUAAGAGGGAGAGAUCUCUGUCUCCUGAAGAACAUAAGAGGCAAUAUCUGCAGAUGAAAUAUGAAAGCUGGAAACAAGCUACAAAUGUUGAAUUAGAAAGGAAGCGUAAACAGGCGGAGUACAACAAGAGGAAGCCACAAGAUGGAGACUCACGAAAGGCCAGUGAAAACAGGAUUACUAUGGAUAAAAACAAGCUUCAGUCUAGAAGUCAAAUAGAUGGUCAUAGGUCAUCUAGUGGUCAGGGGUCAUUAGGGGUCGUACAAAGUGAAGAGAUAAUUAAGUCAAAAUGGGACAGUCCAGGAGAAAAGGAUGCUCGUGUAGGAGGCGACGGACAAAGGAGGAGGAGGUCUCGCUUUGACAUGCAACUGCAGGAUCAGAGUCGGGAAUCUGAGGAAAGGGUUUUCAGUAAAACCAUCAUUUUGGAAGGAAAAAGGAAAGAUGAUAAACAUGCAAGUAAGAAGGAUGAGAGGGAACUAUCUACAGUAGGUUUGGAUGCUGUAGAAGAUAAAGUGAAACUGAAGAAAAUGACUGACAAGGAAAGGGCACAAGUAGGUAGGGACAUGGAGGGGUUAAGGAUUCACAUCAAGAAUGAUCACUUCAGUGAAAGCAAUAAGGUGUCGGAGGAGAACAUCAAACGACACUCGGACAGGGACAGCCUUGAGGGAUCUAUCGCAAGUAGUCGAGGUACUCAUACAAGUACACGACAUCGCAGACCUUCACCAGAGCUCGAAAAAGAUAAAUCUAAACACCGCCAGACACCACCAGACAUCAGGGCUGACUCUAGACAUAAGAGUGAUUAUUCCUCCUCAGAAUCUGAAAGUUCUAAUGGAAGUUAUCAUGAUGAUGUUGACGAGGAGCUGCCAGAUCGAAGUUCUGGGCGCUACAAGAAAAUAGAGAAGAUGUUUAAUAAGAAAGAUAUGGGUAAAUAUAGGGAAGGUGCCAGUGGUUCACGAAAUCGUCACUACUCAGAAGGUAGUGACUACUCCAAGCAAAAACACAAUCUUCCCGAUGUCAUACAGAGUGCCCGGAGAGAGAACAAGCAAGCCAACAAAUAUGUUCCUCGCGGUUUAGGAAGGGGAAGAGCUGGCAGGGGCAGAGGGGGAUACAAAGGUCGAAAUUGGCACCGGGGCGGACGGGGGAGGAACCAAUACAAAGAAAGGGGCGAAUAUAAGGAGUCCUUCAAGGAUAAAAGAAACUACGGUCGUGAUAAACAUUUCAAAGGUAGUAAACGGUCGCGAAGCCCUAGCUCCUCAGACUCCUGGUCAUCUCGUAGCUCUUCAUAUUCGUCUUCGUCAUCUCAAAGUCCCAGUAGGAGUAAAACAUCUCGCUAUUCAGCAUCCUCUAGGAAAGGAUCCUAUAGCAACCAAAGUCAAUCCUGGUCAAGCAAUCGUUCCCCACACUCGUACGUAGACCCUUACGCCAAAGGCAAACCGAAAUUUACAAGUGCUAAGUUUCCAAAGGUCAAACAACCACUCCUUGGGGAGCUUGCAAUGUCUGAACCGAAGGUUCAACCACAACCUGCCCCUCUAACAGUACAGGAAGAACAGAAAAAGAAGGAAGUAUUGUUUCAAUUGGAGAACUUUUUAAGUCAACUUAAAGAGAAGAAGAAGGAGCAGGUUUCUGUUGAUGAGGGUACGGCAAAAACCCCAGAAAAAGUGUGAGAUAUUGUCUGACAAGUUACUAUGAACACAGAAAUUUAAUUUGGAAGAAAAUUGAUUCUGGGGUAUGACUUUGGUAUGUUCCAGAAGUGAUUGUUUUCCGAAUAGCUGUUUUCUGUGAAGGAAAGUCUGAUUGAAAUGCAUCUACCUUGAACAUGUGUCACUCGAAACUUGUUAGCCAGAGUGCCACCCUGAGAAUGUCUGACAUUCUCAGAACUUUUGAACUUGAGUGUCGAAUUUGAGUGUCACGGGUAAGAACAUUUCUCCUGCAGAAAUUAUUGUUCUGAAGACAUGUGUCAGUCUGAGAAUGUGUCAUUGUCUGGCAUUGUUAGAACAAGAAUCACCCUGAGAACAUGCUUCCCUGAGGAUGUGUUAGAUACUGUUGAGAAAUCUGAUAAAAAUGGGGAAGAAGCCCACCUUGACAAUUUGUGAUCCAUUUUGAUACGACCAUGCUCUAUGGUAUGUUUUGUAUAUACCUUGUGUUUAGUCACUACUCAAAGUCGGCUUUGUAAUUAUGAUGGUAUUCACGGGAAACAACCAUUCUCACAAAUGUUGUGGAAUGUUCUGUUUCUGCACGAACAACUUGGCAUCAGUAUAACAAUGUGACACAUGAAUAAAUGAAAGUUAUCUCAAAACUAACUAUCUUCUGUGUAAGCAGUUGAAACUUGUACAAUAUACAUUCACAUUGUUGCAGUGAUGACAGUUCUGUCUAGUAUGAUAGAAGAGCUGAAUGUUUGCUGGAUGACAGUUAUGUCUAGUAUGAUAAAAGAGUUGAAUGUUUGCUGGAUGCAGGGUUCAUUUGGAAUAUAUUGUUAAAAUCAUUGUUUGAUUUCAUUUUUGACAGCAUGUUAGUCUUAACUUCAAAAAUCAUUGCUUUGAUUUACUUUUUAUUAUACGCCCGUCGAAUGAUGGGACGUAUUAUGUUUUCACGCGGGCAUGCUUACACAUUAGUUUCCGCUCAAUAACUUGAGUAAUUUUGAAUGGAUUCAUUUCAAACUUGGUAGGAAGGUUCAUUGCCAUAAACUCUUGGACAGGUUCGAUAACCAAAAUUAUUUGCCAGUUAUUUACGGAAUUAUGGCCCUUUGAGGAAUUGCCGGAACAGUUUUCGCUUAUGGCCCUUUAUAGAAUUAACGUGACAGUUUUCGCUCAAUAACUUCAGUAAUUUUGAAUAGAUUCAUUUCAAACUUAAUAGGAAGGUUCAUUUCUAUGAAAGCUUGCACUAUUUUGAUAAACAUUAUCCGCCUGUUAUAAAGGGAGUUAUGGCCCUUUAUAUAAUUGAUGUAAUGCUUUCUGCUCAAUAACUUGAGAGGUUUUGAAUGUAUUCAUCUCAAACUUCAGCCAUAAUUUACGGACUUACGGCCUUUUGUACAGCUGUCGGAACACAAUUUUUGCGCAAUACCUUUAUGGGCUUAUGGCCCUUUGUUGCAAUACUCAUUCGACAUCUGACGGGCAUAUCAUGUACCGCUUCAUGGAACUCUUGUUGUGACUUGUUAUAUGUAUUUCACAUUGGUUUAUUCCUUAUUGAUUGAACGUGUUAUACAUUGUAUUUGAAUACAAAUUUCAGUUAUGCUUGUUCACAAGUUAGAUUUAAUUUGAAAACAGAUGUAUAUCUAUAUAGAUGACAAGGUAAUAACAGCCAUUUCAAAAUGUCUUGCCAGAACUUCAUAUUCAUCAAACUUUAAUAAUUAAGAGAUUCAAUUUUGCCAGUAAAACAGCUGGCCCUUAUUAUCAAGUUGAUGACGUUACAUUGAAGGUGCUCUUUAAGUUCGUAAUUACCAGAGGAUAGACACAUAAACUGUUUGCAAAGGGCUUAUUAACUUUCUUUGGGAUGGUUAGUACAUAUACCACCUGAUAUGUAAAAUAUAUUUUGACAAUCAUAAAUGUUAUAAAAGAUAUUAAUAAGGUGUAUUUUACUCAAUGCCUGGCAAAAAUAUAGAAUAAAUAUAAAUAUUAGAAAAAAAUUCUGGGGAUAACACUGCCUAAGAUGACAGUGACUUCAGAAAAAUAAAUCUGGAAUCUGCUGAAGUCAAACAAUAAUUGAAUAAUGCUAUAAUUUAUUAGUGAGUGAGGUUUGUUCCAUAUUUUCUUUAAUUUACAGAUUUAAUUUACUCUAACCCAAAAUCUGUAUUUCAAAAAAUCGGAUUAUAUAAUAUGACCUUUUGAUUACACACGUUUUGAAAUCUUUUCCCCCUGAGCAAAUUCAUGAUGUACCAAUGGUAUGUAGAGUAAAGCACACAACCUGAAUGUAUUGGAGUUUUAGGUGUGCAAGUCUGUUCUUUAUCUUGUUCAUGUUUUUGCAUGAAGAUAUAUAAGGUGACUGCAUCAAUACAAAUCUACAGUAUGUUUUAUCAGUCUAGAUAAAUGUGUGGAAUUUGGCCAUUUGUCUGAAAGAAAGAAGAAAGAAAAAAGGAGGAAAUAGUAGAGUAGUCACUUUCUUUGGCAUAAUUUCUUAUAUAGCAGACACUUGAAUUAACAAAUUUAAGCUUUCAUAUUUAACGCACCAAGGACAUUUUCAUUGAAUUUACAGGGAAAUUGACCUGAUACAGAGAUUAUUACUUUGCUGUCAUAAUUUGUUCUAUGAUCAGCUUCUUGUUAUGAGGUACAUGUAUGUAAGUUUGUACGAAUAUAUGCAGCUUCUGUGUUGGAGUAUGUAACCCAGGUUAUCAGCUGAUUACUCAUCAAAUAGAGAGGCGUUAUCAGUUUGCCAUAACAAUUGUAUUAUGAAUCAAUGCAAACUGGUAAUAUUUUUGUUAUAGCAUUUAUUAAUUUUCACAGAAAUCAGGUUGUGGUCUCAAUAAAGACCACCAUAGCUGCUGAGUACACAACUAUGAUAAGUUCUAUUUUCAUAAGAAAUACAAAUGAAACCAAAUUUAGAUUUGAACAUAACGCCACAACAUGAUACUGAAAUGAUAUUUUCUGUCAAUCUUCAUGAAGUAUUUAAAUUCACGAAUUUUGUCUUGUCAUAUGUAUUGUCUCUAUUUAAGUAGAACAUUUGAAAAAGCAAAAUGCUAUUUCUGCUCCUGACCUAUUCUCUUCUGUUUAGUGGUAAAGCUGAUCACAACUGAGACCAUAGCCCAGGUUAUAAUACCCACCAGCACAAAAAAAAUCAACUACGGCAAAACCAUGGUCCAGGUGCCUGGAUCAUUGAUCUGUAUACAUGUAAUGGUACUGUAUCAGACGGCUAAAGCCUCGUCCCAAUUGUUACAAAAGCCUGCUUAGCUUAAUGAGAAGUGAACAAACAUUUUUUUUUAAAUAUUGAAUUAAGUGUUCCAGGGUUUAGAUAUAAUGUGGUGCUGUGUGAUAUAGGGAGGUUUUGUAUGUAUAAGACUGUCUGGGUAACUGUGGUACUGUGUGAUAUAGGGAGGUUUUGUAUGUAUAAGACUGUCUGGGUAACUGUGGUACUGUGUGAUAUAGGGAGGUUUUGUAUGUAUAAGACUGUCUGGGUAACUGUGGUACUGUGUGAUAUAGGGAGGUUUUGUAUGUAUAAGACUGUCUGGGUAACUGUGGUACUGUGUGAUAUAGGGAGGUUUUGUAUGUAUAAGACUGUCUGGGUAACUGUGGUACUGUGUGAUAUAGGGAGGUUUUGUAUGUAUAAGACUGUCUGGGUAACUGUGGUACUGUGUGAUAUAGGGAGGUUUUGUAUGUAUAAGACUGUCUGGGUAACUGUGGUACUGUGUGAUAUAGGGAGGUUUUGUAUGUAUAAGACUGUCUGGGUAACUGUGGUACUGUGUGAUAUAGGGAGGUUUUGUAUGUAUAAGACUGUCUGGGUAACUGUGGUACUGUGUGAUAUAGGGAGGUUUUGUAUGUAUAAGACUGUCUGGGUAACUGUGGUACUGUGUGAUAUAGGGAGGUUUUGUAUGUAUAAGACUGUCUGGGUAACUGUGGUACUGUGUGAUAUAGGGAGGUUUUGUAUGUAUAAGACUGUCGGGGUUGUGAAUACUUCGUUAAAUGCAUAGCGGCAGAAUGCUUGAGUUAUCGGAGACAUGACAGUAAAACUCACAGGUAAUGAACACAAUAUAUUUGGGGCUUAUGCAAGUCUAAGAUUAGUAGUACACAACUUAUGUUGGGCUUGUACCAGUCUAUGGAUAGUAGUUAUAUAGAUACAUGUACAUGUAUGUUGUUUAGCACAUGAGAAAUCUGGGGCAUGUGCAAGUCUGAUACAGUUGGUACUACUUCUACACUAUAUAGCUAGAAGCACAAGAUCAACGAACAUCUGUGUCUGACCCUGUGGUAACACUAAUUCUAUGAGUUCUGUGAGAUCAGAGACGUAUAUAUUACAUGUAAUAUAUAUAUAUACAUCUCUGGUGAGAUGUACAGAACUUUGUUCCAGUAUUGAGACCAUAUUUUAUAAGUGAAAUGUUAAUCAUUGGUAUUAAAAAAUAAU
Molecule: unclassified non-coding RNA, 8602 nt
Filed under: Mizuhopecten yessoensis (Yesso scallop)
Lineage: Eukaryota; Metazoa; Mollusca; Bivalvia; Pectinida; Pectinidae
Description: tetratricopeptide repeat protein 14-like, transcript variant X3
Source: RNAcentral